UACGGAGGGUGCGAGCGUUAAUCGGAAUUACUGGGCGUAAAGCGCGCGCAGGCGGCGUGUUAAGUCGGUUGUGAAAGCCCCGGGCUCAACCUGGGAAGGGCAUUCGGAACUGUCAUGCUAGAGUGCAGGAGAGGAAGGUAGAAUUCCAGGUGUAGCGGUGAAAUGCGUAGAGAUCGGGAGGAAUACCAGUGGCGAAGGCGGCCUUCUGGACUGACACUGACGCUGAGGCGCGAAAGCGUGGGUAGCAAACAGG
Molecule: unclassified non-coding RNA, 253 nt
Filed under: uncultured Halomonadaceae bacterium
Lineage: Bacteria; Pseudomonadati; Pseudomonadota; Gammaproteobacteria; Oceanospirillales; Halomonadaceae
Description: contains 16S-23S intergenic spacer region
Rfam family: Bacterial small subunit ribosomal RNA
Source: RNAcentral